UUUUUUCUGUGCUUCCCAUGUCUCACGCGAUAGCGUGCUUCCGGGUUACGUUGACUGUUGUCAUUAUAUUCAUGACUACAGGUAUAGCUUGUGGCGAUGUCAUCGAGUUUUCCCGAGGAACACACGAUCAAGUGGAUUGAUUAACACCUCCAGAUAAGGACGUGCUGAGGAAAUGCAACAAGAAUCCCAAGGCAAAAGGCAUUCACCUCGAAAGCGAGGGGCCGAGGGAGUAGUAAGUAAUGAUGACCUUCAAACACUUGGCAAAGCUAUUGGUGUCAAGUGGGAUCGACUGGCACGUCGACUACCUGGAAUUACAGAAGAUGACAUAGAAGAAAUUGAAGACAGAUAUAAAAAUUUGUCUCAAAGGGGAUUUCAUAUGCUGAAACUGUGGAAAACAAACAAUGGGGAAGCUGCAGACUAUAAGACUUUGUAUGAUGCAUUAGUCCAUGAGUUGGUACAGCGGAAAGACUUAGCACAAAAGUAUUGUUUAGAAUAAUAUCUCAUAGAUAUUGCUCAUACCAAACCUGGCAGUUAGUUUAAAUAGAGACGGCCACUAGGUGGAAAGUAGAGAUAACUUCGCUAGUUACCAAUAAAUUCCAGUUGGUUAUUAAUUGUAAGAAUCUAAUGAUGAAUUUAUCCUUGAUUUACAUCCUUUUAUCGAUAGCCUUUUUACAACAUGUGUUUAGCUAAUAUUGUACACGCAUUUGAUUGCAUCUAUUGAAGGAAAGACGCAUAGACGGUGGAAAAUGUUGAAGCUUUAGAAUGAUCGUAUGUCAGCUCAAGAGAGAAGUUCUUUAAAGUAAAGCUGGAGUAUUUUAGAUAAACUCGAUGGGCACCCUAAGUUUUUUGAUGCAGACAACUAUAUAUACUGUCUUAAAAAAUAAAAUAAGUGCUUGUUUGGAGCAACUAGGUUAGUGAUUAUGUGAGCAUUUUUUAAUGUAUGGGGAACGCUACAUAUGUAGUCGUUCGUCGUUGGUUUUCACAAUUUUAAUUUGUUUUUGUACAAAUCGAGAAUGACGAUAUUUUUAUUUUGCCAUGGUAGUAUUAUAGUUAACUAGUGUUUGCUUAGCAACUGUCUUUUAUGCAAUGUAAUGGAAUAUUUAGCUCGAUUAUCAAAUACAUGGAGUGUAUUCACUUUGAA
This 1141-nucleotide unclassified non-coding RNA is filed under the name Pocillopora damicornis (cauliflower coral). Its description in RNAcentral is "fAS-associated death domain protein-like, transcript variant X1". The record is from RNAcentral. Lineage: Eukaryota; Metazoa; Cnidaria; Anthozoa; Scleractinia; Pocilloporidae.